Parelaphostrongylus tenuis is the source of this 72-nucleotide non-coding RNA. The record is from the annotation of a GenBank genome assembly. Lineage: Eukaryota; Metazoa; Nematoda; Chromadorea; Rhabditida; Metastrongylidae.
GCCUCGGUAGUGUGGUGACAGCACGCGUCCUAGGUAUGGAUGGAACGCGGGUUCGAUUCCCGUCUGGGGGUG